CCGCCUGCCUCAGCACGGGCCGGGAGAGAGAGACCCGCCUGCCUCAGCUCGGGCCGCAGCAGGGGCCCUGCGGCUCCACAAUCCGCACAUUCCUGCGGGAGCGUGAUUCCUGCGUGCACGUGAUACUGAUCCAGGGAGCAAGGCCCUCCUCUUGGCCAGCGAAUCAGGAGCAAUGGACUCUGGAGCUGUAUGGAGAGGUUUGACGCUACUGCUUUAUGGGGACACAGGUUUAUCUGCAUUUUUUCAUCAUGGCAAAUCCCUGCUCCCUUGAUACCAUGUUAUUGACCUGGGAGACUUCAGUGCAACAACUGUAACACUCCUGAAGAAAGCAGGUUGCUGUCUGCUCCUCCAGGUGUGUGCUGAAUGCUUGGCCAUGAUUCCAUCCGGGAAGUGCCUUGAGAAAUCUCUGUCUCAGCAUCAGCUGUGCAUUGAAAGGCAUGAGCCACACUGUCAGCUGAUGUUUCUUUAACCUGCUGCAUCUGAGAGCAUGUCUGGAGGGCUGGUAUUCUUGGGUUUUAUACUCAGUAUUUUUCUAGUAUUUGUCUAAUCAGUAAGGUGCGGUGUUCAAUAUUGUCAUUGGAAGUAGAAGCCUAAACAAAAUUCCUCACUUGAUUUGAAAGGUCCUCAGUAGCUUCUGGACAGUUCUAAUCAGGACAAUAAUACCAAUGGAGAGGGUAAUGCUGCAGGUGAGGUGUAAAUGGAUGAAAGAGACAGGGUGUGAUGAGAGACAUAAACGGAGAAGACAGAAAAACUGGAAGAAGACUGAAGAAGGGCCAGGAAGAGGCUCAUGAACAGACAGCUUUCCAGAAACAAGGCUUUGUUCUCUUAUGGACAUCUUCUCUUUUCAGUCUUGGGCUUUCUGAAUUAAAUGCUGCAAUAUUAGCUGCCUGCAGUUCCUGUGAUUGGACUCCAUGGGUGGUCUGAGUAAUUUUCAGACAAUGGAGCUGGUUCUUUUCUCACUCACACCACUGUAACUCAUUGGCUUCAGUGAAGUUACUCUUGAUUCAGUGUUCUGAAAGAAGAGUUGAGUUUGCUCUUUCAUUUGUUCUUUAAUCUCCAUGAUAUUUUUGCUUACAUGUAUAAUUGAUUUUCUGGGAAUGUAUCCUGCUGCUGGCAGGUAGACCUAGGAACUUCCUAAGACAGAAAUAAAUGUGAGCACUUUUUAGGUCACUGAAUUAAAUCCACUGCUUCUACACCACCAUGUUAUAUAAUUUCUUUCAUAAACUGCUCAGGCUUUAAACAUUCAUUAGGAUCUAUUCUUACUACAGUGGGUAAAUUCAGACAGAAAGAUUAGUUACGUCCUGUGAAAAUUUAAAAUCACAACUGAAAUAAUCUUCAAAUGCUUUAAAAGUAUUUUUCUUUCUUACCUGUGUCUCACUUUUCAGUACAGUAAUCAUGAUAAAGGUUCAUUCUUGGCAGAAGGAGGCUCAGCUCUGGGAAAGCACGAUUCUGAAAUUAGGGGCAUACUUUGGAAAGGUUACUGUGUAUUUUUCUUUCAUGGUCACAUCCCUCUUGCAGAUUUUAGUGUGAGCAGUCAUCUGACAACAAUUUUUUACCAUACUUGAAGCGUCAUUCUGAAGGUAAUUCCAGAAGGAGAAGGGUACGGAACAGGUGUGUACAACUCAGCUGGGGAUAGAUUACUGUAGACUUUGACUUACUUUUCUUGGGCUGCCUUCCAGGUACUACUCUGUUGUAACAAAUCCCAUCCAUUUUAUCCAAAUUUGCUCUUCAUUUAUGGAAUUAAUGGGUCUAAUUAACAUGAAAUUGAAAAUCAUCAAUACAAUCAAGAAGUUUUAUUGUAAUUUAAGGAUAGAUGAGAAGCAUAGCCCUGUUUUUCUCUUACAUAGUAUAAAUGAUUCAGCAGAAGCCAACACAAUUAUGCUGCUACCUGAAAAUGCUGCUAUGAUAUCUCCCUGUGCUCCCUACCUUUGCUUUGCAUAUAUGUUAAUAUGGAAUGUACUGUUAUUUUUUGCCUUGUGUUGCUAAAUCUCUGUUCUGCAGCUCACUUUAGCAAGCCCUUUGCCGGUACUUUCCUUCUGUUCUGAAGCUUGAACUACAGAAGUUGCAGCUGUUACCCAGGAAAGUUCUUGGCAGUUGCCAUUUAGCAGGUUUGGUUUGCAGCAGCUGGAAGAUGGCUGCACAUCACAAGGGAGGGAGGAAGAGGUGUAUUAGUUGUGAAAGCCAGAUUAUGGUCACUGUACAGCAGCCAGCUGGCUGUGAUACUGCUUUGGUGGCUCUUUAUCCCACCCUUUGGCUACUCUGUUUCUGAUGCAGAAAAAAAUGCACCAGUUGCAUCAUGCAAGUACAAUAAGCCUUGUAGUUUUAGGACUUACUGGAAAUGCUCAAAGUAAUUGUGUGGUCUCUUCAUGCAACCCUUUGUAGGAGUGGUAGAGCACUCCCUUAGUUUUGUUGCAUUACACUGCCUAUAGAAUAUGGGCCUAUGGUGUUUGCUCUAAGGUCUUUGGGGUUGCUGAACAUAGGACAUCCAAGGUUGAGACGUAUGCAGUAACAUAAUGACAUUAUUAGAUACCAAGAAUCAUAGACAUACUCAGUUCUCAUAAUCUCCCUGGAAAAUAAUUCUGGUUGGAAAAGAGGACAGACAAACAAUCUAAGACAACCUGGAUAUGGUAGCUAUAUCUAACCAUGUCUACACAUCUCCUUUCUACUGCAAUGCCUUCAUGCUUCCCCAUAGAUAACUCUUUUUUAUUUUCCAAUUUUCUUUGUCAAAAGUAUGAGAGGUAGCCUGCUGUAUGCUCUUGUGGAGAGCAGUUGCCAGUCAGGAAUCCUCAGUGCAUCACCAUUCUCAGCUUUACAGUCAGCAGCUCUCAACCCAGCACAAGUUAUGGGGCUGUUGAAAGAGGCCAUUGCCUCUGGUGACAAUCUGCUGCAUGCUCAACAACGUGCUGAUCUCAGGCCAAGGAGAGAGCAGCGAGGCAGGACAAACUUGUUUCUUUCACCUACGCAGAACACCAGGCCAAAGGAAUUCUUUGGUAGGCUGUGUGCUACACAGGCCUGCUACAGAGGCUUGGGGAGAGUCUGGUUUGUCUUCUAGAUGCUUCCUAACCCUUAAGUGCAUAAUGGUGGUGGGUUGUUUUGAGGCUUAGAGCUCUGAUAAGUGGUCUUUGACAGAGUUACCUGUUCAGUUUAAGACAUUACUGCUCUCAAGCGUCUGGCUUACUCUGCUGUUAGGUAUUAUCACACUCUUACUGUGGAGACUCCAAUGGUCACAGGCUGGAAUGUUUAAAGAAUACCUACUUUCAUUGUUGUACUCUCCUAGAAUGAUCAUGACCUCAGGCAGUUGAGAGAAAUCAUAUCUUAAAACACAGCAGAUAAAUCUGGCAGAGCUUGCUGUUCGGAGCCUUUGGCCUUUGCUUCUUAACCCUGAGGGGAAAGAGUCCUUGCCAGUGCCUGCGGGCCCAAGGACAACCAUUCAUGCCUUUACUGCCACUGCAGGUCCUCUGUCAUCCCAGAAGUCUGCCGCUCGUCCAUAUGGAGUACUGCUGUCACAGCUGUUAGCUGUUACAACUUAAAAGAGCAAGGAGUAUGUGUAAAGAAACUUUGAAGUCACUGAUACUGUAUUAAGCAAAAAGUGAGGGCUGUUCAUUGGGUAGUGAAUUAAUGAAGAAAAAAAUUCACUUGGAAUUUUUUAUGGUUUAUGUCAUCUUGAAAGUGGUUUAUGAUCCCACCAUGCAGAUCUUAGGAUUUAGUGGCUGUUCUGAUUCACUGAAAAUUGCAGAUGUAGUAGAAAAUAGGUUGAAGUAUUCAUUUAUAUCAGUAAUGAUAUGGCAUCAGAGUAAAGCAUGACAUUUUAAUCUUAAUUUCACUAAGAAAUUAAGUGAUUGUGUUGAUAUUGUGCUGAAAUUAUAUUGCUGUCUUUAUUUGUCCAUCUUUUUUUGAAAUGGUAGGAGGUUGAAAGCAGGAACUGGAUCCCCUUCACUUGUCUGAGGACAUUUUGUAAAAUUUUGUUUACAAAAAUCAAUUCAAAAGCUGGUCAGUCAUAAGACACAAGUCCACAGGAAAUCAAACUUCAGUAUUUCUGAUGUUUACACAAAUGCCUGGUAGUUGGUUCAUGCCCAGCAAUGGAAUAGGCCAAGCUGGCUGGAAACAGUUAGAGAUGCUGGCAGUGUGCCUUGCCCACCUCCCACAGGUUCCCACUUCUGCAGCAGGAAUGGCUCAAUGCCUCAUUAAUCAGCACCUGGGUUUCUGCGUUUUGCAGAUUGGCGCAUUAAGACAAGACAAUCUGUUCAGGCUUAAGCCACAGCAUUCCUGCUGUGGGAGAUGUCUUGCAAGAGCGAUCAGUGUACAUAGUGGGGCAGAUGAUUGUCAACUGCAGCUUAAACUAUAGGGUGAAAUAUAUAUUAAUACCUUCAUCAUUAUUUUGUUAGAAGAGAAUUUUUAAUUUAUUGAUCAGAAAUCACUAAUGGAAAUGUAAAGUUGAGGUGGUUUAGGACGUGGAUGAUAGCAGAAGAAUGCCAAGAGGAACACUCAUGAACAUUACAUUUUCUAGUUGGUGAAAGACUACAUCUAUCAUAUUUGUCAGCAUAACUUUGCUUCUGUUUUUCAAUACAACAGCUUAAAAAUAAAAUUAAAAAAU
Long non-coding RNA from Poecile atricapillus (Black-capped chickadee), 4594 nucleotides. RefSeq lists it as uncharacterized. Lineage: Eukaryota; Metazoa; Chordata; Aves; Passeriformes; Paridae. The record is from RefSeq and is a predicted model, not a curated record. The transcript has 7 exons.